Molecule: ribosomal RNA, 197 nt
Filed under: uncultured bacterium
Lineage: Bacteria
Description: partial 16S ribosomal RNA
Rfam family: Bacterial small subunit ribosomal RNA
Source: RNAcentral
ACGCUCGACACCUACGGGAGCAGCAGUGGGGAAUAUUGCACAAUGGGGGAAACCCUGAUGCAGCAACGCCGCGUGAAGGAAGACGGUUUUCGGAUUGUAAACUUCUGUUCUUAGUGAAGAUAGUGACGGUAGCUAAGGAGCAAGCCACGGCUAACUACGUGCAAGCAGCCGCGGUAAUCUGAGCGGGCUGGCAAGGC